This 496-nucleotide ribosomal RNA is filed under the name uncultured bacterium. RNAcentral describes it as "partial 16S ribosomal RNA". It matches the Rfam family "Bacterial small subunit ribosomal RNA", at positions 28 to 506 of the family's 1533-position model. The record is from RNAcentral.
GAUGAACGCUGGCGGCGUGCCUAAUACAUGCAAGUCGAGCGAACGGACGAGAAGCUUGCUUCUCUGAUGUUAGCGGCGGACGGGUGAGUAACACGUGGAUAACCUACCUAUAAGACUGGGAUAACUUCGGGAAACCGAAGCUAAUACCGGAUGAUAUUUUGAACCGCAUGGUUCAAAAGUGAAAGACGGUCUUGCUGUCACUUAUAGAUGGAUCCGCGCUGCAUUAGCUAGUUGGUAAGGUAACGGCUUACCAAGGCAACGAUGCAUAGCCGACCUGAGAGGGUGAUCGGCCACACUGGAACUGAGACACGGUCCAGACUCCUACGGGAGGCAGCAGUAGGGAAUCUUCCGCAAUGGGCGAAAGCCUGACGGAGCAACGCCGCGUGAGUGAUGAAGGUCUGCGGAUCGUAAAACUCUGUUAUUAGGGAAGAACAUAUGUGUAAGUAACUGUGCACAUCUUGACGGUACCUAAUCAGAAAGCCACGGCUAACUACGU